This 76-nucleotide transfer RNA is filed under the name Candidatus Yonathbacteria bacterium RIFOXYC1_FULL_52_10. RNAcentral describes it as "tRNA-Ala". It matches the Rfam family "tRNA". From Rfam's summary of the family: Transfer RNA (tRNA) molecules are approximately 80 nucleotides in length. Their secondary structure includes four short double-helical elements and three loops (D, anti-codon, and T loops). The record is from RNAcentral. Lineage: Bacteria; Candidatus Yonathiibacteriota. RNAcentral also lists the same sequence under 1 other name.
GGGCCCUUAGCUUAGUUGGUAGAGCGCCUCAUUUGCAAUGAGGAGGUCACCGGUUCGAAUCCGGUAGGGUCCACAA